GACAGAGGGUGCAAACGUUGCUCGGAAUUACUGGGCGUAAAGCGCGUGUAGGUGGAUUGGUGUGUCAGAUGUGAAAGCCCUGGGCUCAACCCAGGAACUGCACCUGAAACUACCAGUCUUGAGUGGUGGAGAGGGAAGUGGAAUUCCUGGUGUAGAGAUGAAAUUCGUAGAUAUCAGGAGGAACACCAGUGGCGAAGGCGGCUUCCUGGACACCAACUGACGCUGAGACGCGAAAGCGUGGGGAGCAAACAGG
RNAcentral lists this ribosomal RNA (253 nucleotides) under uncultured bacterium. Its description in RNAcentral is "partial 16S ribosomal RNA". It matches the Rfam family "Bacterial small subunit ribosomal RNA", at positions 524 to 776 of the family's 1533-position model. The record is from RNAcentral.